CAUAGCGACUAUCGUGGCAUAUCAAUAAGCGGAGGAAAAGAAACUAACAAGGAUUCCCUUAGUAACGGCGAGGUGAAGCGGGAAGAGCUCAAAUUUGAAAUCUUAAAGGGUUUCCCUUUACGAAUUGUAGUUUAAAGAAGUGUUUUCUGUUGGAGUUUCGGUAAAAGUUCUUUGGAAUAGGACAUCAUAGAGGGUGAGAAUCCCGUAUUUGGUCAUUCCUCCUAGCGUUGUGAUACACUUUCAACGAGUCGGAUUGUUUGGGAAUGCAGUCCAAAAUGGGUGGUAAAUUUCAUCUAAAGCUAAAUAUUGGCGAGAGACCGAUAGCGAACAAGUACCGUGAGGGAAAGAUGAGAAGAACUUUGAAAAGAGAGUUAAACAGUACGUGAAAUUGUCAAAAGGGAAGCGUUUGACACCAGUGUUGUUUUUCCGAAAAUCAAUUAUGAAUGGCUUGAUUUUAAGUUUCAUGACCUUAAAAGCUUGUUUCUUAUUUUUCAUGUCUUUCGUAAUGCACUUUUCGGUUAACAAGUCAACAUCAAUUUCUUUUGUUGUAAAAGGUUAAGAGGAAGGUGGCUUUACUUUCGGGUAAAGUGUUUAUAGCCUUUUAACUCUGCAAUCGGAGAGAUUGAGGUCUGCAGCGUAGAUCCUUCGGGGUUAGAUACAUUUGUGCUAAGCUUAUAGUCUUUCAUAGACAACUUGUUGACUAUGUUAAGUCUUGUAAUUUACUCGCAGAUGCUAUCUUACCUACGCUUAGGAUGUUGAUAUGCAUGACUGAUAU
This 775-nucleotide ribosomal RNA is filed under the name uncultured Neocallimastigales. Its description in RNAcentral is "partial large subunit ribosomal RNA". It matches the Rfam family "Eukaryotic large subunit ribosomal RNA", at positions 22 to 640 of the family's 3401-position model. The record is from RNAcentral. Lineage: Eukaryota; Fungi; Neocallimastigomycota; Neocallimastigomycetes; Neocallimastigales.